GCCCACUUGGCUAAGUGGUUAAGGCGUGGCACUUGUAUUUAAUACGAUAUGCCAAGAUCGCUCGUUCGAUUCGGGUAGUGGGCA
Mycena polygramma is the source of this 84-nucleotide non-coding RNA. The record is from the annotation of a GenBank genome assembly. NCBI's taxonomy places the organism in Eukaryota, Fungi, Basidiomycota, Agaricomycetes, Agaricales, Mycenaceae.